This 1536-nucleotide long non-coding RNA is filed under the name Carassius auratus (goldfish). RNAcentral describes it as "lncRNA (ENSCARG00000056060.1)". The record is from RNAcentral. Lineage: Eukaryota; Metazoa; Chordata; Actinopteri; Cypriniformes; Cyprinidae.
AUGCCUUCGUGCCUUAGACAUGUGGAAGAAACCUUGGUUCUUGAAUCAGGGCCCGGUGCUGGGAGCUCUUCGUCGCCGUGUAACGCUAGCGACAGACGCGUCCCUCACCGGUUGGGGUGCGGUCAUGAGUGGCCACCCUGCCUGCGGUCUGUGGAGUGGUCGCCACCUGACGUGGCACAUCAAUUGCCUAGAGAUGUUAGCAGUCUAUCGAGCAUUAAAAUAUUUCCUCCCAGACCUGAGAGGUCACCAUGUGUUGGUGCGCACCGACAACACAUCAGUGGUCUCUUAUAUCAAUCACCAGGGGGGUCUGCGCUCACGCCCCUUGUACAAGCUGGCAUACCAGAUCCUUCUCUGGUCCCAGGGCAAACUCCUCUCGAUCAGAGCAGUGUAUAUUCCUGGGAGAUUGAAUGUGGGAGCAGACAUACUGUCGAGGCAGGGGCCGAGGCCCGGGGAAUGGAUGCUUCACCCCGAGGUGGUGAAGCAGAUAUGGAGAGUGUUUGGCAAAGCUCAGGUGGACCUCUUUGCGACUCAAGAGACAUCGCAAUGUCCCCUCUGGUUCUCUCUAGUUCAUCCAGCUCCUCUGGGACUGGACGCUAUGGUACAGACCUGGCCGAGGCUUCGUCUGUACGCUUUUCCCCCUACCGCUCUGCUCCCGGGAGUUCUGGCGAGAGUACGCCAGGACGGGGUCCGUCUGUUGUUAGUAGCCCCGUUCUGGCCGGGCCGAAUAUGGUUCUCAGAUCUAGUCUCGCUCCUCGACGGCUCUCCGUGGGAGAUACCGAUCAGGAAAGACCUACUCUCACAAGCGCAGGGCACGAUAAUCCACCCUCGCCCGGAGGUGUUCAAGCUGUGGGUGUGGCCCCUGAGGGGGCACAACUGUUAGCAGCUGGUCUCUCAACCGAGGUUGUUGAGACCCUCCUCCAGUCCAGAGCUCCCUCUACGAGGAAACUGUACGCCCUGAAGUGGUCAUUCUUUACUUCAUGGUGCAGAGAUCGCCAUCUUGACCCUGUUAACUGCCCAGUUGGUACAGUUCUGGAGUUUUUACAAGCUAGGCUCUCUGCAGGGUUAUCCCACUCCACCUUAAAGGUGUACGUGGCGGCCAUAGCUGCUUUCCAUGUCCCUUUCAAUGAUCAGUCAGUGGGUAGACACCCCCUAGUUACACGUUUCCUCCGAGGUGCAUUGAGGCUGAGACCUCCAGUACGGUCCCGUAUUCCCCCAUGGGAUUUGGUUGUGGUUCUAGAGGCUCUUUGUAAAGCUCCAUUCGAGCCAAUUCAAGAUAUCUCAGAUAGACAUCUGACACUAAAAACUGCCCUGCUACUGGCAAUCACCUCGCUGAAACGAGUUGGAGAUCUCCAGGCCCUUUCGGUGGCCCCUACUUAUUUAGACUUUGCCCCUGGUAUGGCCAAAGCAUUCUUAUACCCUCGAGCGGGUUAUGUUCCAAAGGUUCCCUCUGUUACACCACAGCCUAUCGUACUGCAGGCCUUCUGUCCUCCUCCCUUUCGGGAGCCAGACCAAGAGAAGCUAAACUGUACACUCUAA